GACGAACGCUGGCGGCGUGCUUAACACAUGCAAGUCGAACGGAAAGGCCCUGCUUUUGUGGGGUGCUCGAGUGGCGAACGGGUGAGUAACACGUGAGUAACCUGCCCUUGACUUUGGGAUAACUUCAGGAAACUGGGGCUAAUACCGGAUAGGAGCUCCUGCUGCAUGGUGGGGGUUGGAAAGUUUCGGCGGGUGGGGAUGGACUCGCGGCUUAUCAGCUUGUUGGUUGGGUAGUGGCUUACCAAGGCUUUGACGGGUAGCCGGCCUGAGAGGGUGACCGGCCACAUUGGGACUGAGAUACGGACCAGAGUCCUACGGGAGGCAGCAGUGGGGAAUAUUGCACAAUGGGCGGAAGCCUGAUGCAGCAACGCCGCGUGCGGGAUGACGGCCUUCGGGUUGUAAACCGCUUUCGCCUGUGACGAAGCGUGAGUGACGGUAAUGGGUAAAGAAGCACCGGCUAACUACGUG
This 468-nucleotide ribosomal RNA is filed under the name uncultured bacterium. RNAcentral's name for it is "partial 16S ribosomal RNA". It matches the Rfam family "Bacterial small subunit ribosomal RNA", at positions 28 to 507 of the family's 1533-position model. The record is from RNAcentral.